UACGUAGGGGCCUAGCGUUGUCCGGAUUUAUUGGGCGUAAAGAGCUCGUAGGCGGUUCGGUAAGUCAGGUGUGAAAUCUCCACGCUCAACGUGGAGGCGCCACCUGAAACUGCCGUGACUCGAGUCCGGUAGGGGAGUGUGGAAUUCCCGGUGUAGCGGUGAAAUGCGCAGAUAUCGGGAGGAACACCUGUGGCGAAAGCGGCGCACUGGGCCACAACUGACGCUGAGGCGCGAAAGCUAGGGGAGCAAACAGG
Molecule: ribosomal RNA, 254 nt
Filed under: uncultured bacterium
Lineage: Bacteria
Description: partial 16S ribosomal RNA
Rfam family: Bacterial small subunit ribosomal RNA
Source: RNAcentral